Molecule: ribosomal RNA, 368 nt
Filed under: uncultured organism
Description: bacterial SSU rRNA
Rfam family: Bacterial small subunit ribosomal RNA
Source: RNAcentral
CGAAGGAUGCAAGCGUUAUCCGGAUUCACUGGGUUUAAAGGGUGUGCAGGUGGGGUAAUAAGUCAGUGGUGAAAGCCCCCGACUCAAUCGGGGAACUGCCAUAGAUACUGUUAUUCUUGAGUGUAGUUGAGGCGGAUGGAAUAUGACAUGUAGCGGUGAAAUGCUUAGAUAUGUCAUAGAACACCGAUCGCGAAGGCAGUCCGCCAAGCUAUUACUGACACUGAAACACGAAAGUGCGGGGAUCAAACAGGAUUAGAUACCCUGGUAGUCCGCACCGUAAACGAUGAUCACUCGUUGUUGGCGAUACACAGUCAGCGACUAAGCGAAAGCAUUAAGUGAUCCACCUGGGAAGUACGACCGCAAGGUUG